This 253-nucleotide ribosomal RNA is filed under the name uncultured bacterium. Its description in RNAcentral is "partial 16S ribosomal RNA". It matches the Rfam family "Bacterial small subunit ribosomal RNA", at positions 524 to 776 of the family's 1533-position model. The record is from RNAcentral.
UACGUAGGGUGCGAGCGUUGUCCGGAAUUAUUGGGCGUAAAGAGCUCGUAGGCGGUCUGUCGCGUCUGCUGUGAAAUCCCGAGGCUCAACCUCGGGCUUGCAGUGGGUACGGGCAGGCUAGAGUGCGGUAGGGGAGAAUGGAACUCCUGGUGUAGCGGUGGAAUGCGCAGAUAUCAGGAAGAACACCGAUGGCGAAGGCAGAUCUCUGGGCCGUAACUGACGCUGAGGAGCGAAAGCGUGGGGAGCGAACAGG